This 373-nucleotide ribosomal RNA is filed under the name uncultured soil bacterium. RNAcentral describes it as "bacterial SSU rRNA". It matches the Rfam family "Bacterial small subunit ribosomal RNA", at positions 26 to 381 of the family's 1533-position model. The record is from RNAcentral.
AGAUUGAACGCUGGCGGCAUGCCUUACACAUGCAAGUCGAACGGCAGCACGGGAGCAAUCCUGGUGGCGAGUGGCGAACGGGUGAGUAAUACAUCGGAACGUGCCCAGUUGUGGGGGAUAGCCCGGCGAAAGCCGGAUUAAUACCGCAUACGACCUACGGGUGAAAGCGGGGGAUCGCAAGCCUCGCGCUAUUGGAGCGGCCGAUGGUACGGAUUAGGCUUGGUUGGUAAGGGUAAAACGCCUACCAAGGGCUACGAUCCGUAGCUGGCUGAGAGGACGACCACGCCACACGUGGGACUAGAGACCGACGGACCCAAGUACUACCGUACGGGAGGCGAGGCCAGGUAGGGAAUUUGGACAAGUGGGACGUAAA